This is a long non-coding RNA of Trematomus bernacchii (emerald rockcod), 408 nucleotides long. RefSeq lists it as uncharacterized. NCBI's taxonomy places the organism in Eukaryota, Metazoa, Chordata, Actinopteri, Perciformes, Nototheniidae. The transcript has 4 exons. The record is from RefSeq and is a predicted model, not a curated record.
UAAACAGAUGUAUAACCAAAAAGAGAUUCACACAACCUGUAGAUCUCUCUCUGCUCGACUGAUAACAGCUUUGACUUUGAGGAAAGAAGAUGAAGUUUGCUAUGAUGUUCCUGGUGUUGACGCUGGUGGUCCUCAUGGCUGAACCUGGGGAGGCUUUUUUUCACCACAUUAUACAUGCCAUCAGUCACAUAUUCGGGAAAAACAAAUACGAAGUGAUGAAAGCGCAGGAAGCGAUGGAACAACGUGCGCUCCAACAAGAGAACGACUUUGCCUGAGUCCAUGAUGGUCCAUUUGAAAAAACAAAUGCUUUCUUCUGCUUUUCUUCAACAUAAACAUUGAAUCAACCUAUCUGUUUUAAAUUUAUCUAUUUUUCAUUUGGAAUAAAUCUGCAUUGCAUUGCAAAAAUCA